Molecule: ribosomal RNA, 236 nt
Filed under: uncultured bacterium
Lineage: Bacteria
Description: partial 16S ribosomal RNA
Rfam family: Bacterial small subunit ribosomal RNA
Source: RNAcentral
GGCAACGGGUGAGUAACGCGUGAGUAACCUGCCCUGGAUGGGGGACAACAGUUGGAAACGACUGCUAAUACCGCAUAAGCCCAGGCCCGGCAUCGGGCUGCGGGAAAAGGAUUUAUUCGCUUCAGGAUGGACUCGCGUCCAAUUAGCUAGUUGGUGAGGUAACGGCCCACCAAGGCGACGAUUGGUAGCCGGACUGAGAGGUUGAACGGCCACAUUGGGACUGAGACACGGCCCAG